CCUACGGGAGGCAGCAGUGAGGAAUAUUGGUCAAUGGACGCGAGUCUGAACCAGCCAAGCCGCGUGAAGGAUGACGGCCCUACGGGUUGUAAACUUCUUUUAUAAAGGAAUAAAGGGAGGUACGCGUGCCUUUCUGAAUGUACUUUAUGAAUAAGGAUCGGCUAACUCCGUGCCAGCAGCCGCGGUAAUACGGAGGAUUCGAGCGUUAUCCGGAUUUAUUGGGUUUAAAGGGUGCGUAGGUGGGUUGUUAAGUCAGUGGUGAAAGUUCGCGGCUCAACCGUAGAAUUGCAUUUGAUACUGUCAGCCUAGAGUACAGUUGCGGUAGGCGGAAUGCGUGGUGUAGCGGUGAAAUGCUUAGAUAUC
RNAcentral lists this ribosomal RNA (363 nucleotides) under uncultured bacterium. Its description in RNAcentral is "partial 16S ribosomal RNA". It matches the Rfam family "Bacterial small subunit ribosomal RNA", at positions 338 to 698 of the family's 1533-position model. The record is from RNAcentral.